Rana temporaria (common frog) is the source of this 3062-nucleotide long non-coding RNA. RefSeq lists it as uncharacterized. The transcript is spliced from 2 exons. The record is from RefSeq and is a predicted model, not a curated record. Lineage: Eukaryota; Metazoa; Chordata; Amphibia; Anura; Ranidae.
AAGACAGCUUGAACAGAAUUCCGACGGAAAAUUCCAUCAGAUUUUAUGCCAUCGGAAAUUCCGAUCGUGUGUACAGCGCAUGAGACUUUGUUUGACUCCAUCAAUAAUACAGUGAGCAUUGAUAAUAUGCAAAUCUCAAUAGUCAAAUCCGGCUAUUCAGAAGUCUUUGACUAACUGAUUGAUGAAGGUGUUCCUUCACUUUGUAUGGUUAUGCAUUUUGCAUUUUUUUUUAUUUCAUACACUAGACUAGAUUGUAAACCUUUCUCAGAAAUACAGUUAAGCUCCUAUGCAAAUGUGAUGGAACUAAAUGGGUUCUAAAAUUGAUUUAGAAGGUGGUUGAUUUCACAUUCUCAUCUUUUAUAAUCAAAUUUGUCAAAAUAACGGAGGCAGCCUUUAGAAUUAAAGGAUAAUUUCUACUGUAUUUUUUUUAUUAAUAUAUAUAUUUAUACAAUAUAUUAACAUGCAGUAAACUGAUACUACUUAUUAAACAAUAUUUGCUACUUUAUUUCCAGUAUUAAAACCUGCACACCAAUCACAUAUUUAGCCCCUGUCAAUAUUUGCUACUUUAUUUCCAGUAUAAAAGCCUGCACACCAAUUACAUAUUUAGCAGACAAUAUAAAAGUAAAUCUUUAUUAUUAUUAUAAUGAUCAGUUUAAUUAACAAAUAACACAAUACAAAGGUUUUAAUACAUUUCUUGUAACAGCAAGCAGUAUAUUUUAAGCAGAUAUUACAAGCAUGGUUUCAUAUUAUCUUUCUUUCAUACAGGACCAAAAAAACUUUGGAGAUGGUUAAAAAAAACUAGAACAAGAUUAGAGGUGUUGCCCAUAUCAAUCAAUGAUUCUUUGAUUUACUUUUCUUAUACAGGUUAGAGAAUGAAUGCUAAUGCAGAUGAAAGGUUUCUUUGGGCAAUGGACCAGUUUUAAAUUUGCUCCAGUUUUUAUCUUAUCCAUUUUCUCCUUGUUAUUGCAUUUCCUUGCAGCUUUAUUUUAUUUUUUUAUGUAAGAUUGAGUGUUGGUCCUUUAGACUGACAAUAUUAUAAAAUAUAUUGGGGUAAACAUUUUUUGCUAGUAUUAGAAUGUGACAUAAAGUGAUGAGGGCAACACCUGAAGGAAAAAUGAGGUUUAAUGAAGGGAAAUUAAUGUUUGUUUUUCUCCCUUUAACACGCUAAAUGGUCAAUAUAGUUUAUUUGCAUUUUAAAAGGAAUCUGUAUUUUGCACAAAGUAGGUUCAUUUUAUAAAAGGCAUGAUAAGCAUCCUGUAUUUGCCUUCCCACCCUUUCCCACCAUGCUGACCAAUUUACAUAUACCCUGGGAAACUCCUGGGUACAUUUCAACUAACCGCUAACUUGUAGUCAGAGUCUUCACCGAGGAAUGCGACACCCUACCUACCAAGGCCUGAGGUGUGCCUUAGCCUCGCUGGACAGUAUGCCUAUAAGUGGGCAUACCCUGAAAGUGAUAGUGAAGAAAUAAAUGAUGAAAAAUGAAAUGAAAAAAGGGGGAACGAGUGGGUACCCAAAAACCCCACCGACGCCGGAGAUGAGAGGGGAGGAGGGAUAAAUAGCCCUCCGAUUCCUCCUACAAACCCAGGCUAGCCUGCGGUCAGCCUUUACACUAUCAUGUGACAAAGCUUAGCUCUGGUGGUGGGAAACCUCAAGGAAGGCAAUUACAGGAUACAUAUUUUUCUUUAUUUACAGUGAACUUAUUAUUUUGCUAUUUAAUUAAUUACUUAUCACUAUGGCUAAAGUAAAGGUAUAAAUGAAAGCUGAAUUCCAAGCAAGCAGCUAAAUAUACAGUUUAACUACAUAUAUGGAAACCACUCUACCUGCCAAAGGAUUUGUGAUUAUUUGCAUUAAUUCUGGGGACCAAGGCACCCCUGUCAGACAGAGCAGUCAUGUCAUUAACUUCAACUUCAUUAGCACAGUUUUGAUCAAGAAUUACACAAUGAAAGAUCACCAGUACAGUAAUGAAUUAUAACACUUCUCAUCUUGCCAACAUGUAUACUGUUAGAACUGAGCUCCUAGUUCUGUUUUUUGUUUUUCAAGCUUUAGCACUGCAAUACAAAAUAUUACAGAAAGCUAAUAUUUAGGGUGCUAGUAAAACAUAUUUUUUUUUUUUAUAUGAAAACGUAAUGAAUUAUUCUUAUUAUUUUAUAUCUGCCUGGAGUUCAGCUUUGAUUAUACAAUAAGCAUUUGGUCUUUUACUGUUUCAUCAGAAAAUAUGUACAAAACAAUGGGUGUUAUUUAGUGGCACAGAUGAAAUGUGAAUUAUUUUAAGCAAUCAGUAAGACAUUUAUUUUAACAUUUAAAUAACAAAAAUAAAUAAAAAUCUUCCAGUUUUCUCUGUUCAAAACACAUUUCUCUGUUCAAACACAUUUAUAGAGUAGAUAUCAAAUCAUGAAUAGUGGACGUGAAAGCACCAAGAAACUAUUAGCACCGGGUCAUGGUUUGGCCCCUUGUUUUCUUGAACCCCAGUCACUGGUAUGACCAUGGAGACCCUGUUACUAUGCCUUUGACAUUUGGUCUUUUUCCUCAUUUUUUCAGCAUUUGAACCUCUUUCUUGUCCAUUUUCUCUUUAGUUUAUUCUCAUGUAUUCCUAAUUACCGUAUGUAUGGUCAGAAAAAUGUUAUGCAUCAACAGCAUUAUUAAUGAUAAGCGUUCCUUACUAAUUAAGCACUGCAUUUACAUUUUUUUUUUUUCCUCUGACGGUCUUUGCAACAUAAUUGCCUUUUUAAAUUAUUAUUGUGGAUCAUUUAAUAUGUUUACAAUGGAACUGAAAGAAAAAAAAUGCACAGAACGUAUAUUUAAAUAUAGUUUUUUUAAAUAUAAAAAUGUUAUAUCUGAAUAGCACUUGAAGUUGUGUCAAUGCUAAAGAAGUGACCUAUCAAAGGUUAAUACCAAGUAACAUUGUGUUUAAUCCUUACAUGUAAGAGAUUAUGUUCCUGAAUCACACUGUAAACCCAGAUGUUACAUAUGGUAACAAUGUAAAAUCACCUUUUUUUACCAUGUUGGUAAUUGUUUUGUAGAUUUUCAGAUUUGAUGAAUAAAUAAAUAUGCAGUCAUUUUUU